UAGGGAAUCUUCGGCAAUGGACGAAAGUCUGACCGAGCAACGCCGCGUGAGUGAAGAAGGUUUUCGGAUCGUAAAACUCUGUUGUUAGAGAAGAACAAGGACGUUAGUAACUGAACGUCCCCUGACGGUAUCUAACCAGAAAGCCACGGCUAACUACGUGCCAGCAGCCGCGGUAAUACGUAGGUGGCAAGCGUUGUCCGGAUUUAUUGGGCGUAAAGCGAGCGCAGGCGGUUUCUUAAGUCUGAUGUGAAAGCCCCCGGCUCAACCGGGGAGGGUCAUUGGAAACUGGGGGACUUGAGUGCAGAAGAGGAGAGUGGAAUUCCAUGUGUAGCGGUGAAAUGCGUAGAUAUAUGGAGGAACACCAGUGGCGAAGGCGGCUCUCUGGUCUGUAACUGAAGCUGAGGCUCGAAAGCGUGGGGAGCAAACAGG
Molecule: ribosomal RNA, 429 nt
Filed under: Chloroflexota bacterium
Lineage: Bacteria; Bacillati; Chloroflexota
Description: Chloroflexi bacterium partial 16S ribosomal RNA
Rfam family: Bacterial small subunit ribosomal RNA
Source: RNAcentral